Molecule: long non-coding RNA, 682 nt
Organism: Bombus impatiens (common eastern bumble bee)
Lineage: Eukaryota; Metazoa; Arthropoda; Insecta; Hymenoptera; Apidae
Exons: 2
Source: RefSeq, a predicted model, not a curated record
CUAAUUCCGUAACAGUCACGUCAAUCUCUGAGAACAUUUUUAAACCCAAAUUCUACGCUCUCCAAGCGUUUCCCAUCGACCAUAAACCAGAAUAAAAUGGCGCACAAAGGUUGUCGCUGGACGUCAGGACACUAACAACACACGACAAGAAAGUGAAGAGAGAACUGGUAUCCCGCUUUCAAAAAUUCUUUUGCUAUUCUUCCAUCGAUUCGCGAUUCCACCGCGUCACGCACCGCCAUUAACGAGCAACGAAGCUCAAAAAGCAACGUUCACCGUGUCUCAAUCGCGAUUACACAGCGGAGAGACGCACGGUCGGUUUGUCGCGCGUGUUAUUCGACGUGACACGCGAGCAUACUGGAGAAAAUACUGUCAUCCGCGAGAACUGUGCUACAAUGUACCGUAUACAUCGUGAAAAACGUUCACGGUGCGUGCGCUAUGAUUAAAUGAGAAAAAUAACGUUAGCUCGCGCAGCCGGUUCGCGUGACGGAUGGUUUAACCCUUUCGCGGUCCGAAUCUCGUUUAAUGCUCUGUACCGAUUCGCUUGUGAUUAAUAACGCGCAUGAAUCAAACCAACUCCUUUAAUCUUUUUAUUACAGAAAGUUGGAUAAAACAUUAAUAAUUUAUGUGAUAUUUCAUAGAAUUUGCACGAAAAAGGAUUGAAAGGGCUAUAUGGAGUUUUAGU